This is a long non-coding RNA of Oncorhynchus nerka (sockeye salmon), 3706 nucleotides long. RefSeq lists it as uncharacterized. The record is from RefSeq and is a predicted model, not a curated record. The transcript has 2 exons. Lineage: Eukaryota; Metazoa; Chordata; Actinopteri; Salmoniformes; Salmonidae.
GUAUCGGUCUCCUCUGGCCUCCUUGGAGUAGGCUACACAGUGAGAGCGUGCGUAAUUGUACACGCUGAACGGCUUUCAAUAUCUGGGCAAAGGUCCACAUCUGGCAGCAGGUGAGCGCGUGUCGGAGAAUGUGGUGAUGAGGCUUGUGGAACCUUACAUCAGAAGGGGACAAAUGUCACUUCACUGUCAUCGGCGGACAAGUUGCUUGCAAAGAAAACAACUCCGGUCGACACCAUGAACAAAGGGAGACGGGAGCUCCCUCCCUCUGCGCAAAAUAAGGCACUUGCACAGCCGUUGUACCACAGCUGUGCUGAAGAAUGACAAGACAACUCACAUUUACCAAUACAAGGCAAGAAAUAAAGUUUCUGUCAUGAGCACCACGCAUCCGACAGUUGACAUCGACCGUGACUCCAUAAAGAGAAAAUCGGAGCCUAUUACGCACUACAACCAAACAAAGCAGGGAUGGGCAACGCUGAGCUCAUCAUCAGGGGCUGGAGUGGCUCGCGGGUCUGCGCACCCACAAAAAAAAUAUAUAGUUUUAUAAUGUCAUCCAAGACCGUCAUAAACACAUCCAAAUGAUUAUUUUUGAGAUAGCAUAUAUGAAACGUAUUAAUUACGGUUCUAAUGUUGCAGGCAGAAUGUUUGAAGGGGGGUUCCUCGGGGCCCAGCGGCUCUGGUGUUAAGGAAUACUUACAUUUGAAAUUCACAUCAUGGACAUCCACUACAUUUCACUAUGUGACAUUUCAAAAAUCUACUACACUUUAAAUGCCCGGAUGUCAUACUCAGUUCGUCUUUUUUUAUUUAGUAGAAUUCGCUGCACACAUUUGAGGAAGAUAAUAGUCUUUUCACAAACACAUGUUCGACAACAGCUGGAAAUCAGAACGGAGGACGUGCUCUACAAAAAUGAACGAAAGGCGCGCAACAAGUGCGAUUGCGCAUUCUCAGUAUGGAUGAGUAGUAUGCUAAUAUUUGUUGCAUACUGCAUACUUUGUACUAAACAGUACGUUCUAAAUAGUAUGUAGUACGAUUAGUACACUGUAUGCAGUUUCAGUAAGUAGUAGGCAAGCCAGAUUUGAACAUGGCCAUAUUAUUUCUGUGUUACUCUUGGUCCUCUAUACGUUCACCUGUUCUCUGUAUGUAUGUGUGUAUUUCAGAGGAGUUGGAAUAAAGCAGAAGACACGUUUCCCUUGGAAGUCCAUGUGGAAUAAAGUGCUGUUCUUCCAUUGGUCUCGCUAUAUUAAUGUGGUUCGGCACCGUGAGUAAUCAGCUCAUUACAAGAGAGCGGCGAAGCUGCUUAUGGUAAAGCAGAGCGUUCAUUAAUUACACACCGCGUCCAGACGCACGCAGAGACACAACCGCACUACAACUGUCUUGUGACCUUUUGGACUUCAGGUGAAGAAUCACAUUCUUUCUAUAUGAAAACACAAGGGUUUUCUCUGGAAAUGAUUGAUGCGGUGAGUUACUAAUGGACCAAAGGGCACCUGUAAAUGAACUGUUGGAAGGCUAUUAUACAACAAUAAUGGAUAUAGGUCACCUGGACUGGAGAUUAUUAGCAGUCUACCUAUGUCUGCUACAAUGGAUUAAACUUCCCUUUGAGAUAUAUAUUUUCAUUGUACUGUACAUGGUCCCGGUCAUACAUUUAAUGUAUAACCCGAUGAAUAGAAAAAUAACCAAUAUGUAUUUUUUUAGAGGGAAGGAGAGAGGAGCUAUAUUUGACCAGAUUGUAUAUACACUAUACAACAACAAUGCAUAUGUUUUAGAGGGGAAAGAGAGAGGGCCUCAUAUAGCAGCCAUGUCUCACGACUUCCCUCACGAUGCCUUUAAGCUUCCUCUUCUCCUCAGACAGUAACAGCUGAUGCCUCAGACCGAUACACAAACAAACUACACACCAAGCUACAGGGAGCCAUAAUGACUUAAUGCAAAGUGACAGACUGCACAUACUGAAGAGGUUUGCUGCGCUGUGCGGUGGUUAUUUAAAGGCUACUCUCCCCAAACGACACCCAGGACACAGAUUAAAAGAGGAGGGAGGGAUAGAGGAGAGGAGGGAUGAAGGGAUGGAGGAGUGGACGGGUGGAGGGCCGUUGUGUGGUGUCAGGGACUCACCAGUCAAAGGGAAAGUGGCCAUCAGAACAGGGUUCAAAUACUAUGUGAGAUCUUUCAAAUACUUUGAGCCUUUAGUCUGGACUUUAGACUGGACUUUAGCCUGUCUGGACUUUAGCCUGUCUGGACUUUAGUCUGGACUUCAGCCUGUCUGGACUUUAGUCUGGACUUCAGCCUGUCUGGACUUUAGUCUGGACUUCAGCCUGUCUGGACUUUAGCCUGUCUGGACUUUAGUCUGGACUUUAGCCUGUCUGGACUUUAGUCUGGACUUUAGCCUGUCUGGACUUUAGUCUGGACUUUAGCCUGUCUGGACUUUAGUCUGGACUUUAGUCUGGACUUUAGCCUGUCUGGACUUUAGUCUGGACUUUAGCCUGUCUGGACUUUAGUCUGGACUUUAGCCUGUCUGGAGUGCUAGUUGGGCGUGUUUGAACCCUGGUCUGGAAAUGAUAGGGGGGGUGGGGCUGGGGAGCGGUGCGGUGCGGGACUUCAGGGAGUGUAGCAGGCCUAUGCGGUCUCUGGUUAACGAGGUUAAGGUAAUGGAGUUUUAAAGGGGAACACCUUCAGAGGGAUUUGGAGUGUCUUUGUACUACAGGGACUAAGGGCAAUAGGGCCUGUACUGACGGUCUCUGUGAGAUUGUUCAUGUUUACUAAAGGGAGGCCCUCUGGUCUGUAAUGACCAAAUACAGUUGAAGACGUGGCCCUAAUGCACUCAAGCUGCUGCAGAGAGAGAGAGAGAGAAAGAGGGACGAGAAAAGAGAGGGAGACAAAGAGAGAGGAGAUCAAAAAUAAAGAAAGAGGGAGACCUAUUGCACUGGGACAAAUACUCAGACAUAAGAGAAUCUUUCUUUCCCCAAAUUAUCCGCCAUUACAAAUCAUUUUAAACUAUAAAAAAAUAACGAAAAUAUCUAAUAUGCAUUGGGUAAAAAAACAAAAUGUGCAGUUUUGGCACGUAAAUAUGUGGCCUCCUGCCACAAGCUGAGGGAAAGCCAGUGAAAAGCAACAAUGUAACAAUAGUAUUUGCUAUUUAGUUUGAUUUGGCUUUCAUUACAUUAUUAUUCUCAUGACUAAUGUUGUUGUUAAUAUCAUUACCACUACUAUUAGGCCUCCUAUUAUUAUUAUUAAUAGUAGUCUUCGUAUUAUUAGUAUUAUUAGUAUACUUAUUAUUAUUAUUAUUAUUAUUAUUAGUAUUAUUAAUAUACUCAUUAUUAUUAUUAUUAUUAGUAGUAGUAUUAUUAUUCAUAAUAUUAGUAUUAGUAUAUGUAUUAUUAGGAGUCAUAUUAUUAUUAAUAAUAUUAUUAGUAUACCUUUUAUUAGUAUGAUUCAUAUUAUUAGUAUUAUUAGUAUACGUGUAAUAAUUAUUUUUAGUAUUAUUAGUAUUAGUAGUAUACAUCGUUGCGGUAUUAUUAUUAGUAUAUUUGUAUACUCAUUAUUAUUAUUAGUAGUAUUAUUAGUAUACUUAUUAUUAUUAGUAGUAGUAAUAUUGUUAGUACUUUUAUUAUUAUUAUUACUUUAUUACUGUUAGUCAGAUUAAUGUAGUUAUAUGUGUACUUCGACAUGGUCAGUAAUAUUACUUGCAAUGUCAAUAAAGUCUAUUGAAUUGAACAGA